GAGGAAUAUUGGUCAAUGGGCGAGAGCCUGAACCAGCCAAGUAGCGUGCGGGAUGAAGGCCCUUGUGGUCGUAAACCGCUUUUAUCAGUGAAUAAAGUGCACCACGUGUGGUGUCAUUGCAGGUAGCUGAAGAAAAAGGACCGGCUAAUUCCGUGCCAGCAGCCGCGGUAAUACGGAAGGUCCGGGCGUUAUCCGGAAUUAUUGGGUUUAAAGGGAGCGCAGGCGGGAGUAUAAGUCAGCUGUUAAAUAUCAGAGCCCAACUCUGUUAUGCAGUUGAAACUAUAUUUCUUGAGUACGCACAGGGAUGGCGGAAUUCAGGGUGUAGCGGUGAAAUGCUUAGAUAUCCUGAAGAACUCCGAUCGCGAAGGCAGCCAUCCGGAGCGUAACUGACGCUGAGGCUCGAAGGUGCGGGUAUCGAACAGGAUUAGAUACCCUGGUAGUCCGCACGGUAAACGAUGAAUACUCGCAGUUCGGCCGUUUAGGUCGAGUUGUCCAGCGAAAGCGUUAAGUAUUCCACCUGGGGAGUACGCCGGCAACGGUG
RNAcentral lists this ribosomal RNA (541 nucleotides) under uncultured bacterium. Its description in RNAcentral is "bacterial SSU rRNA". It matches the Rfam family "Bacterial small subunit ribosomal RNA", at positions 356 to 896 of the family's 1533-position model. The record is from RNAcentral.